Molecule: long non-coding RNA, 499 nt
Organism: Pecten maximus
Lineage: Eukaryota; Metazoa; Mollusca; Bivalvia; Pectinida; Pectinidae
Exons: 3
Source: RefSeq, a predicted model, not a curated record
UACCAGUCAUUGUCUUUCACACGCUUAAAAAGCAAGAUGUCGUCAACACCUCGACUACCGGUGCCCACCAGCCGAAAUGCAACGCUUGGGCGAAUCAGGACGAUGCUUGGAUAUCUUACAAGCAAAAGGGGGAAAUUUAUGACACUCCACAGUUCUGGAGCUGGAAUAACAUUUGGUGGAACAGCUCUAGCAAUGGUUAUUUUCCUAUUUAAUUUCAAACCAAUCCUAGGUCGGAUUCCCUACGUCAAACAAAGUUACGAAUUACCUCCUGCGGAACCCAAAAAGUAAAAAUGAUGUGAAAGGAUUACAUUCAAAACAAGAAUUGUGUUACCAACUUACUAUGGAAUUCAGUCUGGAGGAGGACAGGUUUUACUUAAUGGAUUGUAGAACAUCAUAGAGAAAUCCCUGAAAGUUUCUCAACUCUGGAACUGUUUUGUGAAUUGUUUUCAAUUUAAAUUAAAUUUAGGAUAAAAGUGUAUUAAAAGUGUCAUGUUUAAUA